This 247-nucleotide long non-coding RNA is filed under the name dengue virus type 2. RNAcentral's name for it is "partial sfRNA1". The stretch from base 156 to 227 matches the Rfam family "Flavivirus DB element". The record is from RNAcentral. Lineage: Riboviria; Orthornavirae; Kitrinoviricota; Flasuviricetes; Amarillovirales; Flaviviridae.
UAGAAGUCAGGUCGGAUUAAGCCAUAGUACGGAAAAAACUAUGCUACCUGUGAGCCCCGUCCAAGGACGUUAAAAGAAGUCAGGCCAUCAUAAAUGCCAUAGCUUGAGUAAACUAUGCAGCCUGUAGCUCCACCUGAGAAGGUGUAAAAAAUCCGGGAGGCCACAAACCAUGGAAGCUGUACGCAUGGCGUAGUGGACUAGCGGUUAGAGGAGACCCCUCCCUUACAAAUCGCAGCAACAAUGGGGG